GGCCCCGCAGCGGAUGGUCCGCACCCGCUAUAACUUGUAGUUCCCAACCCAGCCAUUAUUCGUGGGAGUCGCUCGUUCGAUUCGAGCCGGGGUCA
Non-coding RNA from Mycena filopes, 95 nucleotides. The record is from the annotation of a GenBank genome assembly. Lineage: Eukaryota; Fungi; Basidiomycota; Agaricomycetes; Agaricales; Mycenaceae.